This 456-nucleotide ribosomal RNA is filed under the name Gymnosporangium yamadae. Its description in RNAcentral is "eukaryotic LSU rRNA". The stretch from base 2 to 121 matches the Rfam family "5.8S ribosomal RNA", at positions 35 to 154 of the family's 154-position model. Lineage: Eukaryota; Fungi; Basidiomycota; Pucciniomycetes; Pucciniales; Gymnosporangiaceae. The record is from RNAcentral.
UGAUGAAGAACACAGUGAAAUGUGAUAAGUAAUGUGAAUCGCAGAAUUCAGUGAAUCAUCAAAUCUUUGAACGCACCUUGCACCUUUUGGUAUUCCAAAAGGUACACCUGUUUGAGUGUCAUGAAGUAAACUCAUUAAUUAACUUUUUUAUUAAAGUUUUUUGAUGGAUGUUGAGUGUUGCUGUGAUUGUUACAGCUCGCUUUAAAUAUAUAAGCUCAUCUUAUCACUUGAUUUGGACUGACUUGAUGUGAUAUAUAUCAACUUCAUCAAGGAAUGUAUACUAUAAAUGUACAGCCAAUCAUUUUCUGAUAAGUAGGCUUCUAAACCAUUUUCUUCAACAUGUUUUGAAAGCAUGAUGAAAAAAAUACCAAUUGUAAGACCUCAAAUCAGGUGGAAUUACCCGCUGAACUUAAGCAUAUCAAUAAGCGGAGGAAAAGAAACUAACAAGGAUUCCCC